Molecule: long non-coding RNA, 737 nt
Organism: Mytilus californianus (California mussel)
Lineage: Eukaryota; Metazoa; Mollusca; Bivalvia; Mytilida; Mytilidae
Exons: 2
Source: RefSeq, a predicted model, not a curated record
GUAACGAAAUGUGGGUCCCCUGAAUUGCAACUUGUUUCCCCUAAAAUUGUGUGAUGACGUUGUAUCUUACCGAUAAUUGACUUUUCUUAUUAUAUAUUUCUUGUAUAACUAUGUUUAAACAUUGUUAACUCUAAAACUUUUUAUCAUUCUUGCCUAUGAUUUUACAUAGGAACACCUGUGCAUUGUGUACUUAAAAUGACGUACAAUGACGUCAUUACCUAUUUUGGUAAUCACCAGUUCCGGUUUUGGUAAUUUAGGUAUUUUCCGAAAUGGUAAAUGGUAAACCAAAUCGGUAAAUUGGUUUACCUAAGUAUAAAUACGGCGGAGAAUACAGAUAAGUCUUCAGCACAAUUUUACCCUGGGCAAGUAACACACGUUAAGUCCAAGCGAUUUUGAUAUACGUACAGAUACCAUGUACCAGACCAAGUAUUAACCAGACAGCCAACACUAUUACAAUGUCCGAGGAGACUACGUCCGUAUAAUGUGGGUUUGUUAAUUCCUUUACAAGUUACAUUUAGAGAAUAACUUCUCGAGAGAAACUUUAUCUUUUGGCAUUGAAUUUGAUUUACCAUUUGCCGAUCACCAAACUAUAUUUUUCCGCUAUCCAUUUUCUUUAAUUCCCGAUAGGAGGUUAAUAAAGUAUUUAUCUGUUAGACUAGAAUACUGUUAAGUUAUUUGAUAUUUAUAUGUAUUGUUGCUAUUUAAUGCAUCUUAAAGUUAAUACAAGUUGAUUUUUA